RNAcentral lists this ribosomal RNA (207 nucleotides) under uncultured bacterium. Its description in RNAcentral is "partial 16S ribosomal RNA". It matches the Rfam family "Bacterial small subunit ribosomal RNA", at positions 568 to 774 of the family's 1533-position model. The record is from RNAcentral.
CACGUAGGCGGAUUUGUCAGUCAGGGGUGAAAUCCCGGGGCUCAACCUCGGAACUGCCUUUGAUACAGCAAGUCUUGAGUUCGAGAGAGGUGGGUGGAAUUCCUAGUGUAGAGGUGAAAUUCGUAGAUAUUAGGAAGAACACCGGUGGCGAAGGCGGCCCACUGGCUCGAUACUGACGCUGAGGUGUGAAAGCGUGGGGAGCAAACA